This 85-nucleotide small RNA is filed under the name Arabidopsis thaliana (thale cress). RNAcentral's name for it is "ATSL056890". The record is from RNAcentral. Lineage: Eukaryota; Viridiplantae; Streptophyta; Magnoliopsida; Brassicales; Brassicaceae.
UAUAAUUUAUAACAUAUACAUCGGAAGACGCUGAGUUUUAAAAUCUUACUCUUGAUAAACUAGAUUUGGAGGUAUCUUUAUAUGA